This 215-nucleotide long non-coding RNA is filed under the name Lathyrus oleraceus (garden pea). Its description in RNAcentral is "Pisum sativum (pea) long non-coding RNA (PSAT_LNC028720)". The record is from RNAcentral. Lineage: Eukaryota; Viridiplantae; Streptophyta; Magnoliopsida; Fabales; Fabaceae.
AAAACUAAAAAAUCAUUUUCAGAAACUAGAAUUAAAAAAAGAAAUAAUGCAAUUGGUCUCAUAUUUUUUUGGAUUAAAAAAGAAAGAGAUAUGAAUUUUUGAAAUAAAAGGAAAUAAAGAAAAUAAAAUGAAUAAAUCAGAAAUGCGAAAAAUCCUAGCGCGUUGGAUCAACCUCAUUAAAUGAGGUGGCACAUCCAAGGAUCCUCAUGCGCGCG